This is a non-coding RNA of Paramuricea clavata, 124 nucleotides long. The record is from the annotation of a GenBank genome assembly. NCBI's taxonomy places the organism in Eukaryota, Metazoa, Cnidaria, Anthozoa, Malacalcyonacea, Plexauridae.
AAGGUUGUUCUAGCAAGUCUGAUACAGUCAUGAUAUAACAAGAAUGUUACAAGGUUGAUGACACAAGGUUGUAUUAAACAACACCGUUAUAUCAUGUCUGUAUCAGACUUGUUAGAACAACCUU